This 442-nucleotide long non-coding RNA is filed under the name Triticum aestivum (bread wheat). RNAcentral's name for it is "long non-coding RNA (TAES_LNC000925)". The record is from RNAcentral. Lineage: Eukaryota; Viridiplantae; Streptophyta; Magnoliopsida; Poales; Poaceae.
AAUUCUUUCAUUACACAGGAUACGUUCUCCAUGGCCAACAAUAAGGUUGUGAUAACUAAUUAGGGACAACAACAGGAGACAAAAGCCAAGACAGAAAAGGGCUAAAAGGGUACAAGCUCUUUCAAAUUCUUUUCAAUUCCUUAACGUCACAUGGAUGUCAAUAUCAUACGUCGUCAAUAUCAAACUUCACAUUAUAGUGACUUUUCACAAAUCUGGGAGAAAAAUGUUAUUUGCAGCCAAGCCUGGAAAUGCAUACAUCUGGCAAUAUUAUUAUCAUUUAACAUCCCACUUUGAACUGACUUCAUGAAUUCAAGACGGAGCAACUUGCCGCUGUACUUCAACCUUCUUCCCAGUCAAUCUCAUCUUCCUCGUCGUCGCCAGAUUCUGGGGCCUCAGCAUUCAAAUCCACAAACUUAUAUGGCUCCUCCGAUGUAUUCCCUGC